UCGUCAUUGCUGUGGAAUGUGAGAGGCGACAGCAGAAUGCUUCCCUUACGGUGACCGGAUCGAGGUCGGGUGCACAAAUGCUAUGUUCCGGCAAGACUAUGUAAAUAUUGUGAAGUACUGCAAUAAAGAUAAAAGCUGCUGGUUUCAGAUGACAGUCGGGAAAUCUGAUUUUAUUUCUGUGCAACUGAGCAGAUAGCCAGAUCGCCGGCGAAGGAGGUAAAUUGAGACAGAAGCUGCUGCAGUUCCUCCACCUAUGCAGACGACAGAACUUUACCUAGUUGAUUGAUAUUAUUAAUUGUUGUAAACUCUUGUUUUAUUGUAUUACUGUUUUAUCAUUUGUAUAUUGUGAAUUGUAUUAGUGCUAUGGUUUUUUGCUCAAUUGUAUUGUUCGGGCCUUGCCCCAUGUGAGCCACCCCGAGUCCCCAUGGGGAGAUGGUGGCAAGGUAUAAAUAAAGUUUUAUAAUUAUUACUUAUUAUUAUUAUUUAUUCAAUGCCUUAAAAACAUGUACAAUACAGAAAUUAAAAUUAAAUUAGAUUAAAAUCAGACAUAUUAAACAAUUAAAACAUUACAUUACAUAAGGAAUCAUGCCAUCCAUAGUCAUAGUCCAGGUCUUUCCAUAGUCAUUCCAUAUUUUCCAUAUCUGUCACUGCACUGCCCUAUUCACUAAAAGCCUGAUCCCACAGCCAAGUUUUUACCUUUCUUCUAAAGGCUAGGAGGAAGGGGGCUGAUUUAAUAUUGCUGGGGAGGGAAUUCCAUAGCCGAGGGGCCACCACUGAGAAGGCCCUGUCUCUCGUUCCCACCAGUCGUUCCUGUGAAGGAGGCAGGAUGGUUCCGAGAUGGUUCAUAGGGAGAGAUAUGUUCUGACAGGUAAGCUGGGCCGAAACCAUUUAGGGCUUUAUAGACUAAAGCCAGCACUUUGAAUUGCGCUCAGAUACAAACAAAGAUACAAAUUAAAAAUUUUGUAAGCAUAAGAAAUCUUGGUAGAAGAAAUCACAUAACACUGUUUGACACUAAGUAGCUCUGUCAAACUGCCUUUUAUACUGAAUGAAAAUGCUAUAAAGAAUAAUACAUCUCAUUUUAAGUAAAACUAUAUUUCUAGCCUUAGCUAUCUUGUGUCACAGAGAAGGAAAUGCAAAUCUAAUGUGCUGUCCCAGGCUUCUUGUGUUGUGUGGGAAUCCUCCAUUUUCCAUUCAGACAUAAUAUUUAUUCCUCAGAUUCUUUGUUUUUUGUACAUUACAUCAACACAUAUUAAAAAGGCACAGCACUGAAGCAUGCACUCCUAUUGUGUUAAAGUUGCUAGGAAACAGGUGGGCCAUAUUGAGGCCAAAAUAAAGAACAGGAGUCUGCAUUUCAGGAGAAA
Molecule: long non-coding RNA, 1361 nt
Organism: Anolis carolinensis (green anole)
Lineage: Eukaryota; Metazoa; Chordata; Lepidosauria; Squamata; Anolidae
Exons: 2
Source: RefSeq, a predicted model, not a curated record